Molecule: ribosomal RNA, 609 nt
Filed under: uncultured bacterium
Lineage: Bacteria
Description: bacterial SSU rRNA
Rfam family: Bacterial small subunit ribosomal RNA
Source: RNAcentral
GAGCGGCAGACGGGUGAGUAACGCGUGGGAACAUGCCCUUCGGUUCGGAAUAACCCAGGGAAACUUGGGCUAAUACCGAAUACGUCAGGAGAAAGAUUUAUCGCCGAAGGAUUGGCCCGCGUCGGAUUAGCUAGUUGGUGAGGUAACGGCUCACCAAGGCGAUGAUCCGUAGCUGGUCUGAGAGGACGAUCAGCCACACUGGGACUGAGACACGGCCCAGACUCCUACGGGAGGCAGCAGUGGGGAAUAUUGGACAAUGGGCGCAAGCCUGAUCCAGCCAUGCCGCGUGAGUGAUGAAGGCCUUAGGGUUGUAAAGCUCUUUCGGCGGGGACGAUAAUGACGGUACCCGCAGAAGAAGCCCCGGCUAACUUCGUGCCAGCAGCCGCGGUAAUACGAAGGGGGCUAGCGUUGCUCGGAAUCACUGGGCGUAAAGCGCACGUAGGCGGGUCGCUGAGUCGGGGGUGAAAUCCUGGAGCUUAACUCCAGAACUGCCUUCGAUACUGGCGAUCUUCGAGUCCGGGAGAGGUGGGUGGAACUGCGAGUGUAGAGGUGAAAUUCGUAGAUAUUCGCAAGAACACCAGUGGCGAAGGCGGCUCACUGGCCCGGUAC